AUUGAACGCUGGCGGCAGGCUUAACACAUGCAAGUCGAGCGGGGGAAGGUAGCUUGCUACUGGACCUAGCGGCGGACGGGUGAGUAAUGCUUAGGAAUCUGCCUAUUAGUGGGGGACAACAUCUCGAAAGGGAUGCUAGUACCGCAUACGUCCUACGGGAGAAAGCAGGGGAUCUUCGGACCUUGCGCUAAUAGAUGAGCCUAAGUCGGAUUAGCGAGUUGGUGGGCUAAAGGCCUACCAAGGCGACGAUCUGUAGCGGGUCUGAGAGGAUGAUCCGCCACACUGGGACUGAGACACGGCCCAGACUCCUACGGGAGGCAGCAGUGGGGAAUAUCGGACAAUGGGGGGAACCCUGAUCCAGCCAUGCCGCGUGUGUGAAGAAGGCCUUAUGGUUGUAAAGCACUUUAAGCGAGGAGGAGGCUACUCUAGUUAAUACCUAGGGAUAGUGGACGUUACUCGCAGAAUAAGCACCGGCUAACUCUGUGCCAGCAGCCGCCGUAA
Molecule: ribosomal RNA, 501 nt
Filed under: uncultured bacterium
Lineage: Bacteria
Description: partial 16S ribosomal RNA
Rfam family: Bacterial small subunit ribosomal RNA
Source: RNAcentral